This 281-nucleotide ribosomal RNA is filed under the name Segatella copri DSM 18205. Its description in RNAcentral is "Prevotella copri DSM 18205 partial 16S ribosomal RNA". It matches the Rfam family "Bacterial small subunit ribosomal RNA", at positions 524 to 805 of the family's 1533-position model. The record is from RNAcentral. Lineage: Bacteria; Pseudomonadati; Bacteroidota; Bacteroidia; Bacteroidales; Prevotellaceae.
UACGGAAGGUCCGGGCGUUAUCCGGAUUUAUUGGGUUUAAAGGGAGCGUAGGCCGGAGAUUAAGCGUGUUGUGAAAUGUAGACGCUCAACGUCUGCACUGCAGCGCGAACUGGUUUCCUUGAGUACGCACAAAGUGGGCGGAAUUCGUGGUGUAGCGGUGAAAUGCUUAGAUAUCACGAAGAACUCCGAUUGCGAAGGCAGCUCACUGGAGCGCAACUGACGCUGAAGCUCGAAAGUGCGGGUAUCGAACAGGAUUAGAAACCUAGUCCGGCUGACUGACU